GACAUGGCUCAGGAUGAACGCUAGCUACAGGCUUAACACAUGCAAGUCGAGGGGCAUCAGUUUGGUUUGCUUGCAAACCAAAGCUGGCGACCGGCGCACGGGUGAGUAACACGUAUCCAACCUGCCUCAUACUCGGGGAUAGCCUUUCGAAAGAAAGAUUAAUACAAGAUGUUAUCAUGAGUAAGCAUUUUCGCAUGAUUAAAGGUUUACCGGUGUAAGAUGGGGAUGCGUUCCAUUAG
Molecule: ribosomal RNA, 239 nt
Filed under: uncultured bacterium
Lineage: Bacteria
Description: partial 16S ribosomal RNA
Rfam family: Bacterial small subunit ribosomal RNA
Source: RNAcentral